Homo sapiens (human) is the source of this 1547-nucleotide long non-coding RNA. NCBI's taxonomy places the organism in Eukaryota, Metazoa, Chordata, Mammalia, Primates, Hominidae. The record is from Ensembl.
GGUGGGGACCCCUGGCGGGAGCAGACGGCAGAGCGCAGCAGUGGAGGGAGCAAGAAGGGCCCCCUGCGAUGAGGAACGAGAUGGCGGUGGACAGAGGCAGGAUUCGGUCGUGCCCCCAGCUUUUUUUAAAUUGAAGCGAAAGACUCAGAAAUCGUGAAAUGUAUGGGACAGCCUGGAAGCUCCACUUUGAACUGCUGCUGCCAGAGAAGGAUGGUGGGAAAGAGCCACCAUCCAGACGGGUUCCCUGGCUCUGCGCACUCGCCUGGGGGAGGCCUCCUUUUCCCUGGUCCUAAAACGCUUUCCCGAUAGGGGAGGCAGGGAUCUGUGUUGCCAGCGCCCUCUGAGACCCGGGAUGAGCGUGUGAAGGCUGCCAGCAGGCACGUGGCAGCCCCUUGGUGUGUCAGCUGCUUCUCCAGGGUCCCACUGAGUGCCCAUUCGGCCUUGACUUGAGCACUCCUGCCUCCCGUUAGACCUCCAGAUGGUAUAGUGACCUCCGCCGGGGACAUCUCCGGACCACAAAAGGUACAGAAGAAGCAGAGGAAGGACCCUAUCCUUGUCCUCAGAGCUAAGGGGCCGAAAGCUGUGGGAGGAAACACGGACCCACUGUCCCCGUCGGGGAUGGGGAAGGCUCCCUUCCUCCCUGCGGCACCUGCUGGACGGACGUCUCAGCCUAGGACAGGGCCGCAUCCCUUCAGUCCGCACAGCCCCUGGCUGCCACGCUGUGCCGAGCCCUGCCCUUGAGAACCUGUUUCCAGUUCCAGCUCUCCACAGGCCCCCUCAUCUAGGCUGGUCCCGGGUCAAAUCGAAGGAAGGAAUGGAGGCUGCACCCUGAGAAACCCUGGGACACCCUUCCAGAACAUACAUUGCCUAGGCUGUCUACUGCUCCUAGCUUUCCCCAAAGGCGUGUGUUUCUUCUGCGCCCAGCUCACCCUUGCUCCGUCCAGGUAGCAGGUGUCUCUCUGUGUAGGUGAAGUUGCAGAAGGGACGAGCCAGAGGGGGCUGUGAUUCCGAAACCUCUGCUCACUUCCCCCAAGGCUCUCUGGGGCUCAAAAUUAGGUAGCAUUAAGACCCUCAGGAUAAUUUAUGUUUGCACUGAAUUUAAAACAGAACAAAGGUAGGAACUACACUUUUUGGGUGGCUGCGCCUUGCAAAUGUAUUCGGAUGCAGGUUUGUGAGCAGCGCCAUGGCCGACAGAACCACAGGCAGGCGGCAGGUCUCCUGCAGCCUCCCCCACGGUGCAGGGGCGCCUUUCCGGCUCCUCUAAGAAGCGCUGCUGAAGCCACGCCCUGGCUUAGCGCGGAGGAGGAGCCACCGUGGGGCACCGUGGGGAGCGAGGCCUGAGCCCCGCCUCCCCAGUCACCGAGCACUUCCUGUCCCUGCUCAGUAAUCAAGCACAGACUUCAGAUCUUGGCAUCUCAGUCUGAACUCCUUAAAAGCCAGGUAUUUUAAAAGAAACGUUUUAAGGCAAAUUGGUACCUAUUUCCAGCCCACCUUUCUGUAGUGCAAGAACUGUCUCCAAACCUCCUAAAUAAAUCUUCCAGACAAAA